Molecule: long non-coding RNA, 520 nt
Organism: Zonotrichia leucophrys gambelii
Lineage: Eukaryota; Metazoa; Chordata; Aves; Passeriformes; Passerellidae
Exons: 4
Source: RefSeq, a predicted model, not a curated record
AGCACUGCUUGCACCUUGUCUGUGCCCUAACCAGGCUCAUGAAUGUUCUUUGGAACUAUUCUGUUUCUGUUCUUAUCUUUUAGAGACCAGAAAUGAGGUGUGCCACAUAAAGUAUGACCCAGUAAUGAAUGAGCUGCCAGACAAAUUGACACAAAAGAAUUGACCUGGGAGCCCAGGACCCUGUGGGAGGUAACUGCUGCACAGUUGGCAGAGAGCUCCUGAUAUCCAGUGCAGACACGAUUCAUCUUCAGUGAGCACGUCUGAAACUGCAGCUUUAUCUGACCCAAGUAUGAUACCCAAAGGAGACCAGGACCUGUGAUGGUGGCGAGGGUCAGACACAGCCCAGGGAUCUCUCACCAGGGCUGCAGUGCCAGCUCUGGAUCACAAAGGUGUGUGGGCACACAAAGGCACGGCAGGGAACAAGGGUCAAUGGCAUGGCCUGAGGAAGCUCCUGGAUGAAGAACCUUAUGCGAGAUCCAUAAGGUUCUUUCUUGAAUAGCUCUUCCUUCAGAGAAGUGUA